UACGUAGGGUGCGAGCGUUAAUCGGAAUUACUGGGCGUAAAGCGUGCGCAGGCGGUUUUGUAAGCCAGAUGUGAAAUCCCCGGGCUCAACCUGGGAAUGGCAUUUGGGACUGCAAGGCUCGAGUUUGGCAGAGGAGACUGGAAUUCCUGGUGUAGCAGUGAAAUGCGUAGAUAUGUGGAGGAAUACCGAUGGCGAAGGCAGCCCCCUGGGCCUGCACUGACGCUCAUGCACGAAAGCGUGGGGAGCAAACAGG
RNAcentral lists this ribosomal RNA (253 nucleotides) under uncultured bacterium. RNAcentral describes it as "partial 16S ribosomal RNA". It matches the Rfam family "Bacterial small subunit ribosomal RNA", at positions 524 to 776 of the family's 1533-position model. The record is from RNAcentral.